AAAUCUGAAAGUGGAAGAGAAGGGAAGGCACCGGUAACCUCGUCUUCCCAAGAGGAGGUCAGAGGGCAGUUCAGACAUUGAAGGAAGAGACAAAGAGCCUUGAAUGUCACGAAAAGGAGGUUGGACUUUAUCCUGCAGGCAAUCAGAAGCCAGAAAGGUUUCAGGAUGGAUGGGCUGAUCAGAUUUGAGUUUCAACAGGCCACUGUGCUGCUACAGACACCCAGACACCGGAGCUCCAGCCGGGGCAGGCUGCAGGAUGCCCAGCCGUGUCCCCAGGAUGCCCUGCACGCUGUCCUGAAAACUAACCUGUAACUGCAGCUCUUGGAGCCUUCCGGAACCCAGAUCCCCACCUGAGAUCAAACCAAAGACCUGGUUUAAGGUCCCUGGUUUGGCUUGUUGCCACCCAACGCUGCCCC
This 416-nucleotide long non-coding RNA is filed under the name Homo sapiens (human). RNAcentral describes it as "HSALNT0379498". The record is from RNAcentral. Lineage: Eukaryota; Metazoa; Chordata; Mammalia; Primates; Hominidae.